Molecule: transfer RNA, 58 nt
Filed under: Cricetulus griseus (Chinese hamster)
Lineage: Eukaryota; Metazoa; Chordata; Mammalia; Rodentia; Cricetidae
Rfam family: tRNA
About the family: Transfer RNA (tRNA) molecules are approximately 80 nucleotides in length.
Source: Rfam by way of RNAcentral
UGGCUCAGAGGUUAAGAGCACUGCUUGCUCUAGCAGAGGUCCUGAGUUCAAUUCUCAG